Non-coding RNA from Beta vulgaris subsp. vulgaris (sugar beet), 71 nucleotides. The record is from Rfam. NCBI's taxonomy places the organism in Eukaryota, Viridiplantae, Streptophyta, Magnoliopsida, Caryophyllales, Amaranthaceae.
GCGUAAUGAUGAUGAUGUUGUAUAGAACCGACAAAUUCAUGAAAGGAAUACAAACCUCCUACUCAUACUGA